UGGGGAAUAUUGCACAAUGGGCGCAAGCCUGAUGCAGCCAUGCCGCGUGUAUGAAGAAGGCCUUCGAGUUGUAAAGUACUUUCAGCGGGGAGGAAGGGAGUAAAGUUAAUACCUUUGCUCAUUGACGUUACCCGCAGAAGAAGCACCGGCUAACUCCGUGCCAGCAGCCGCGGUAAUACGGAGGGUGCAAGCGUUAAUCGGAAUUACUGGGCGUAAAGCGCACGCAGGCGGUUUGUUAAGUCAGAUGUGAAAUCCCCGGGCUCAACCUGGGAACUGCAUCUGAUACUGGCAAGCUUGAGUCUCGUAGAGGGGGGUAGAAUUCCAGGUGUAGCGGUGAAAUGCGUAGAGAUCUGGAGGAAUACCGGUGGCGAAGGCGGCCCCCUGGACAAAGACUGACGCUCAGGUGCGAAAGCGUGGGGAGCAAACAGG
Molecule: ribosomal RNA, 429 nt
Filed under: Chloroflexota bacterium
Lineage: Bacteria; Bacillati; Chloroflexota
Description: Chloroflexi bacterium partial 16S ribosomal RNA
Rfam family: Bacterial small subunit ribosomal RNA
Source: RNAcentral